AACAGGAUUAGAUACCCUGGUAGUCCACGCUGUAAACGAUGUCGACUUGGAGGUUGUGCCCUUGAGGCGUGGCUUCCGGAGCUAACGCGUUAAGUCGACCGCCUGGGGAGUACGGCCGCAAGGUUAAAACUCAAAUGAAUUGACGGGGGCCCGCACAAGCGGUGGAGCAUGUGGUUUAAUUCGAUGCAACGCGAAGAACCUUACCUACUCUUGACAUCCAGAGAAUUUGCUAGAGAUAGCUUAGUGCCUUCGGGAACUCUGAGACAGGUGCUGCAUGGCUGUCGUCAGCUCGUGUUGUGAAAUGUUGGGUUAAGUCCCGCAACGAGCGCAACCCUUAUCCUUUGUUGCCAGCGGGUAAUGUCGGGAACUCAAAGGAGACUGCCGGUGAUAAACCGGAGGAAGGUGGGGAUGACGUCAAGUCAUCAUGGCCCUUACGAGUAGGGCUACACACGUGCUACAAUGGCAUAUACAAAGAGAAGCGAACUCGCGAGAGCAAGCGGACCUCAUAAAGUAUGUCGUAGUCCGGAUUGGAGUCUGCAACUCGACUCCAUGAAGUCGGAAUCGCUAGUAAUCGUAGAUCAGAAUGCUACGGUGAAUACGUUCCCGGGCCUUGUACACACCGCCCGUCACACCAUGGGAGUGGGUUGCAAAAGAAGUAGGUAGCUUAACCUUCGGGAGAGCGCUUACCACUUUGUGAUUCAUGACUGGGGUGAAGUCGUAACAAGGUAACC
RNAcentral lists this ribosomal RNA (731 nucleotides) under uncultured bacterium. Its description in RNAcentral is "bacterial SSU rRNA". It matches the Rfam family "Bacterial small subunit ribosomal RNA", at positions 771 to 1501 of the family's 1533-position model. The record is from RNAcentral.